This 71-nucleotide transfer RNA is filed under the name Sus scrofa (pig). It matches the Rfam family "tRNA". From Rfam's summary of the family: Transfer RNA (tRNA) molecules are approximately 80 nucleotides in length. Their secondary structure includes four short double-helical elements and three loops (D, anti-codon, and T loops). Lineage: Eukaryota; Metazoa; Chordata; Mammalia; Artiodactyla; Suidae. The record is from Rfam by way of RNAcentral.
UCCCUGGUGGUCUAGUGGUUAAGAUUUGGCCCUCUCACUGCUAUAGCCCAGCUUCAAUCCUGGUCUGGGAA